CAGCAGCCCUGAUCGAAACGGCAUCCUUUUUCUUUUUCCUUAAAAAGAAAAAGAUAUAGUGCAGAGCAGGAAACCAU
This 77-nucleotide small RNA is filed under the name Flavobacterium aquicola. Its description in RNAcentral is "Flavo-1 RNA". It matches the Rfam family "Flavo-1 RNA". The record is from RNAcentral. Lineage: Bacteria; Pseudomonadati; Bacteroidota; Flavobacteriia; Flavobacteriales; Flavobacteriaceae.